RNAcentral lists this long non-coding RNA (751 nucleotides) under Triticum aestivum (bread wheat). RNAcentral's name for it is "long non-coding RNA (TAES_LNC009225)". The record is from RNAcentral. Lineage: Eukaryota; Viridiplantae; Streptophyta; Magnoliopsida; Poales; Poaceae.
UUGCAGGAGAGACGUGAGGGUUAGUUGCAUUCAUGUUGCUCCAUUGCUUGAGAUGGAUCCAUUUGAUUGAGGUAUGUUCCUGCCCUUUUGUCCCACAUCGUUUUUUUCCUUUUAAAUUUUUAACACACCAUCAUAUCUACCGGUAGGUGCCAUUCUUCUUGUCUUUGCAUGUCGGUUUGUAUGUAUAGGUUGCCGAGCAGAUUAUUGGCACAUAGGAUGCACAACUGUACUAUUACUGAUUAUACAUAUACACAAGAAAAUGAGAAAGGUCCACUAAAUAAUCACGGCGCGAGGGCGAUUGACGCAGCUGAAUCAUUGAAUUACUCGCCUACAGAAUGUUCACCACUUGAGAGUUCCUUCCCUUAUUUCUAAUCAAUCUACAUAGAUACUUCUUCAUUAAGCUUUUGUGCACCAUCGGAAUUCAUCUUUGGCUGCUCUGUUUCCCCUCGAUGUCGAUUUCAUUUAUAUAUGACAUUCGCUUAGCUAUUAGCUUACAGCAUGCAUGGCCUCUGUAUUUUAUUUCUAUUUGACUUGCGACCAUUCUCCUUCUUAUUGCUUUUCAUAGGUGCCAUGCUGGAAAGAGAAUAUCUUUGUGUUUGUGUUACAGAAAGCAUGGCUGGCCUCUGUAUUUAUUUUUUAAGGUCGGCACACUACUUCUGUUAACCUGUAAGAAAAUCUCUACUAUAAAAGGAGCUAGGCUACCCGCCAUUCUGGGGCCUCUCCCGUGCGCACACAUAUUGGCCAUCUGAUU